CAAGAGGUAAAACACCUAAAAGUCUUAUCUUUAUCCCAAGUACUAUGAUGAAUAAAAUCUGCUACCUUUAAAUUCCAAUCCAACUCUGUCCUAUUCUGUUCAGGAAUUAAGUUAUAAAGAGGAAAUGGAAAAGCCCAAUUAAAGCGCGAAAAUAUAUUUGUCUGACCAUUUACCUGAGACCUUUGUGUUUGGAGGGGCUUUUAAGCUCUCCCACUUAUAAGCAACGCACAAGAAGUGUUUAGUAACUCUUGACUGUAGCCCGCUUCUAACAAAAGCUAGGGCUUUUUCAAGGGAAAAGCAGAAGUUAGGAGAGACCUGCUUUUAGAAGCAGAAGCCGCAGUGCUCACUGUAGCGCUAUUUACUGUAGUAGAUUAAUGAUACUUUCCUAAUACCAGCAUUGCCGUCCAGGAAGAUAUUGCACCGGAGUCUCUUCACGCAGACGCAAAACAAUUCUCUGUUGCUCACUCCGAUUAUGAAGAGAGAAUUGACGUCAAAUCACUCACUCCGAUUCCGAUCAUAUCAGAUCCCUAACCGCUCCGAUCAGAUCAGCAUCUCUGUUUCUCCGAUCGAUUUCGCUAUUGUCCGUUCAAGAGUAUAUUGAAAUCGCUUGAGAAGACGGACGGCGGCGAGUUCGGAAAGUACUACAGCUUGCCAGCUCUCAAUGAUCCUAGAGUCGGUAAAUUUUUAGCUCCAAUUUACUUGUGAUUGUGUUUUGCGUCUGGUCAGAGUGAACGGAAGGAAAUGAAAUUGAAUAUGUAUGAUUUGUGGUGGUUGGAUAUGUGAAGUUGUUUUGGAUCGAUGAUUCUGUUUUUGAAUCUUCUUGUUGCUUUUGAUUCAUCAGAGUAAUGGAAUACUGGAAAUGGUUGUAUUAAUGGCUUUGUGAUUCUCUUG
Rosa rugosa (rugosa rose) is the source of this 891-nucleotide long non-coding RNA. RefSeq lists it as uncharacterized. The record is from RefSeq and is a predicted model, not a curated record. The transcript is spliced from 2 exons. Lineage: Eukaryota; Viridiplantae; Streptophyta; Magnoliopsida; Rosales; Rosaceae.